GAAUUACUGGGCGUAAAGCGUGCGUAGGUGGUUUGUUAAGUCUGAUGUGAAAGCCCUGGGCUCAACCUGGGAAUUGCAGUGGAUACUGGGCGACUAGAGUGUGGUAGAGGAUAGUGGAAUUUCCGGUGUAGCAGUGAAAUGCGUAGAGAUCGGAAGGAACAUCUGUGGCGAAGGCGACUACCUGGACCAGCACUGACACUGAGGCACGAAAGCGUGG
This 217-nucleotide ribosomal RNA is filed under the name Pycnococcus provasolii. RNAcentral's name for it is "partial Bacterial small subunit ribosomal RNA". It matches the Rfam family "Bacterial small subunit ribosomal RNA", at positions 548 to 764 of the family's 1533-position model. Lineage: Eukaryota; Viridiplantae; Chlorophyta; Pseudoscourfieldiophyceae; Pseudoscourfieldiales; Pycnococcaceae. The record is from RNAcentral.